This 723-nucleotide ribosomal RNA is filed under the name uncultured bacterium. RNAcentral describes it as "bacterial SSU rRNA". It matches the Rfam family "Bacterial small subunit ribosomal RNA", at positions 524 to 1381 of the family's 1533-position model. The record is from RNAcentral.
UACGGAGGGGGCAAGCGUUGUUCGAAAUCAUUGGGCGUAAAGGGUGUGUAGGUGGUUCUAUAAGUCAGACGUGAAAUCCCUCUGCUCAACGGAGGAAUUGCGUUUGAAACUAUAGAUCUUGAGUACGGUAGAGGAGAGUGGAAUUCCCAGUGUAGCGGUGAAAUGCGUAGAUAUUGGGAAGAACACCGGUGGCGAAGGCGGCUCUCUGGACCGUUUACUGACACUGAAGGGUGAAAACUCAAAAGAANUGACAGGGGNCCGCCCAAUCGGUGGAGCAUGUGGNUUAAUUCGNCGCGACGCNGAAGAACNUUAACCUGGGCUUGGAACUAGCUGAUGAAAGCGCCAGAAAUGGCGUCUCCCUUCGGGGCAUUUGCAGANGGUGNUGCAUGGCUGUCGUCAGCUNGUGUCGUGAGAUGUUGGGUUAAGUUCCGCAACGAGCGCAACCCUUACCCUUAGUUGCCAGCGGGUAAUGCCGGGAACUCUAAGGGAACUGUCGGUGAUAAACCGGAGGAAGGUGGGGAUGACGUCAAGUCCUCAUGGCCCUUAUGUCCAGGGCUACACACGUGCUACAAUGGCCGGUACAAAGAGUCGCGAAACCGCGAGGUGGAGCCAAUCUCAAAAAUCCGGUCCCAGUUCGGAUUGGAGUCUGCAAUUCGACUCCAUGAAGUAGGAAUCGCUAGUAAUCGCGGAUCAGCAUGCCGCGGUGAAUACGUUCCCGGGCCU